AUUUAUUUUUCAUUUUUGUAAUCUAUCAUACGAUUGGUUGUUCUUGUGCAUGUUUAAAACCGGAAGUCUUAUAUAUGACUAAAAGUCAGUCUGAUAACGAAAACAAUAUCCGGACACCUAUUUUGUCGUUUUUCUCCCAAAAUAACUCAAUCUGAAUAAUCAUAAGGAUGGAUGACAAAUGCAACUAUGCAUGUUACCUAAAGAACACAGAGUCAUGAUGAUUAAUUUAUUGUGGAAGGAAGAGAAUCGACACACAAAAUGAGGUCUUCUCGUUUAAUAGUAUAGAU
Molecule: long non-coding RNA, 287 nt
Filed under: Mytilus galloprovincialis (Mediterranean mussel)
Lineage: Eukaryota; Metazoa; Mollusca; Bivalvia; Mytilida; Mytilidae
Source: RNAcentral